GGAGGAUCUUGAGGUGAGCUGGCUGAAGGAAGGCUGGACUCAGCUAGACAUUGCUACCUGGGAAUAGGGCUUUUUAGAUUUAGAAACCUGGUUUCUAUUGAAUUCACUGAACUUACCCUGUCACACUCUCAAGGAGAUUCAAAGAAGGACUGCUACUGGUUCCUGAGGUAUGUACCUGGUUUCAAGGAACAGAAGAAAACCACCUAGAAAAAGAUAUAACAGAAGGUUGUGUGCCAGGAAAAAAUGU
Long non-coding RNA from Alligator sinensis (Chinese alligator), 247 nucleotides. RefSeq lists it as uncharacterized. The record is from RefSeq and is a predicted model, not a curated record. The transcript is spliced from 3 exons. NCBI's taxonomy places the organism in Eukaryota, Metazoa, Chordata, Crocodylia, Alligatoridae.